AACUCAAAGGAAUUGACGGGGGCCCGCACAAGCGGUGGAGCAUGUGGUUUAAUUCGAUGCAACGCGAAGAACCUUACCUGGUCUUGACAUCCACGGAAGUUUUCAGAGAUGAGAAUGUGCCUUCGGGAACCGUGAGACAGGUGCUGCAUGGCUGUCGUUAGCUCGUGUUGUGAAAUGUUGGGUUAAGUCCCGCAACGAGCGCAACCCUUAUCCUUUGUUGCCAGCGGUCCGGCCGGGAACUCAAAGGAGACUGCCAGUGAUAAACUGGAGGAAGGUGGGGAUGACGUCAAGUCAUCAUGGCCCUUACGACCAGGGCUACACACGUGCUACGAUGGCGCAUACAAAGAGAAGCGACCUCGCGAGAGCAAGCGGACCUCAUAAAGUGCGUCGUAGUCCGGAUUGGAGUCUGCAACUCGACUCCAUGAGGUCGGAAUCGCUAGUAAUCGUGGAUCAGAAUGCCACGGUGAAUACGUUCCCGGGCCUUGUACACACCGCCCGUC
This 500-nucleotide ribosomal RNA is filed under the name uncultured Gammaproteobacteria bacterium. RNAcentral's name for it is "bacterial SSU rRNA". It matches the Rfam family "Bacterial small subunit ribosomal RNA", at positions 898 to 1398 of the family's 1533-position model. Lineage: Bacteria; Pseudomonadati; Pseudomonadota; Gammaproteobacteria. The record is from RNAcentral.